Molecule: transfer RNA, 90 nt
Filed under: Pontibacter sp. BAB1700
Lineage: Bacteria; Pseudomonadati; Bacteroidota; Cytophagia; Cytophagales; Hymenobacteraceae
Description: tRNA-Ser
Rfam family: tRNA
About the family: Transfer RNA (tRNA) molecules are approximately 80 nucleotides in length.
Source: RNAcentral
GGAGGGGUGGGUGAGUGGCUUAAACCAGCAGUUUGCUAAACUGCCGUACUGGAAACGGUACCGGGGGUUCGAAUCCCCCCUCCUCCGCAA